Molecule: ribosomal RNA, 250 nt
Filed under: uncultured bacterium
Lineage: Bacteria
Description: partial 16S ribosomal RNA
Rfam family: Bacterial small subunit ribosomal RNA
Source: RNAcentral
GACAGAGGUGGCGAGCGUUGUUCGGAAUUACUGGGCUUAAAGGGCGCGUAGGCGGUGGUUUAAGUCUGAGGUGGAAUGCUACAGCUCAACUGUAGAGCUGCCUUGGAAACUGGAUUACUUGAGUCGGUGAGGGGAAGGUGGAAUUCCAGGUGUAGCGGUGAAAUGCGUAGAUAUCUGGAGGAAGGUCUGUGGCGAAGGCGACCUUCUGGCACUUGACUGACGCUGAGGCGCGAAAGCGUGGGUAGCAAAC